AAAUACCUACUGGCUCAACCAUAGUAACUGCUUUUGUAAACUGGUAACCUAGAGUAUGGGAGAGGUAGAUGGAAUUUCUGGUGUAGGGUAAAAGUACCGUAGAGAUCAGAAGGAAUACCGAUUGCGAAGGCGAUCUACUGGAACAUUACUGACGCUGAGACGCGAAAGCGUGGGGAGCAAACAGGAUUAGAUACCCCUGGUAG
This 203-nucleotide ribosomal RNA is filed under the name uncultured bacterium. Its description in RNAcentral is "partial 16S ribosomal RNA". It matches the Rfam family "Bacterial small subunit ribosomal RNA", at positions 595 to 793 of the family's 1533-position model. The record is from RNAcentral.